GACGAACGCUGGCGGCGUGCCUAAUACAUGCAAGUCGAGCGAGCCGAACUAAUUGAUUACCUUCGGGUAUGAAGUUAGGGAAGCGAGCGGCGGAUGGGUGAGUAACACGUGGGUAACCUACCCUAUAGUCUGGGAUACCACUUGGAAACAGGUGCUAAUACCGGAUAAAAGGAGAGAUCACAUGAUUUCUUUUUGAAAGGCGGCGUAAGCUGUCGCUAAAGGAUGGACCCGCGGUGCAUUAGCUAGUUGGUAAGGUAACGGCUUACCAAGGCAACGAUGCAUAGCCGAGUUGAGAGACUGAUCGGCCACAUUGGGACUGAGACACGGCCCAAACUCCUACGGGAGGCAGCAGUAGGGAGUCUUCCACAAUGGACGCAAGUCUGAUGGAGCAACGCCGCGUGAGUGAAGAAGGUUUUCGGAUCGUAAAGCUCUGUUGUUGGUGAAGAAAGAUAGUGAGAGUAACUGCUCAUUAUUUGCCGGUAAUCAACCAGAAAGUCACGGCUAACUACGUGCCAGCAGCCGCGGUAAUACGUAGGUGGCAAGCGUUGUCCGGAUUUAUUGGGCGUAAAGCGAGCGCAGGCGGAAAGAUAAGUCAGAUGUGAAAGCCCUC
Molecule: ribosomal RNA, 610 nt
Filed under: uncultured bacterium
Lineage: Bacteria
Description: bacterial SSU rRNA
Rfam family: Bacterial small subunit ribosomal RNA
Source: RNAcentral